CAGGCCAGUCUGCCCUUGAUGAACUCCAAGGAAUGGGCCAUCAUAGCUGGUCACGGCCAGCCCUUGCCUCCCGCCUUAAUGAACACAGUGUGAUGGAGAGCGUUGGAUCUUAGUCUCUGAUAGGGAUGGAAUUACAGGAACAAGGUCAGUCCACUCUUCUCACACCUGGACCCCCCGUCUACAAAGCCACCAGAGGCAGAUCCUUGGCCACAUCAGCUCAGCUCCCUUCCAGGCCACUGGGUCACCACAGCCAACAAUAUCUUUUAGCUGGUGCCCUGGAGGGCUCUAUUCCUGAAGACCUGGCAAGGCAGCCAGAUGAGGUGUUAGAGAGCAAUGCCACACCGCCCAGAACCAGGAUGGAGCUGGCCAGCAUCGGGAGCCACCGGGCAUCAAAGCAGUGGAAAAGUGGGGAGCCCCAAGGGCGCAAGGUCAUGAAAGAUCUUGGGAGCAGCAGCACCAGUUUUUCACCCACUCUGCAACCAGGCACUGGCUGCCUUGGGCUGAAUGGAGCGGCCUGGGUAAAUCAAGCCCACAUGUCUGUCACCGAGCACUAAAUCUCCCCAAAGGACAUUCCUUACUGCAGCAGUAAUGCUGCCAGCUCCAGGGAACAGGAUUGCACCACCGGGGCGGCUUAAAGGGCCAGCUCACAGCCUCCUGGUUCCAGCUGGGAACGUCCU
Non-coding RNA from Sus scrofa (pig), 677 nucleotides. NCBI's taxonomy places the organism in Eukaryota, Metazoa, Chordata, Mammalia, Artiodactyla, Suidae. The record is from RefSeq and is a predicted model, not a curated record.